This 966-nucleotide long non-coding RNA is filed under the name Piliocolobus tephrosceles (Ugandan red Colobus). RNAcentral's name for it is "lncRNA (ENSPTEG00000001805.1)". Lineage: Eukaryota; Metazoa; Chordata; Mammalia; Primates; Cercopithecidae. The record is from RNAcentral.
AUGGUAUUAUUAUAUAUUUUGUAUUCAUUAGUUUUGUUUGCAGUUGCUUAUACGAAAGAAAAUAUAAACAACCAGGCAGUGAACAGUCCUGUGCUUCAAUAUGGAUUUAUAAAUAAUGAACACUAUAAGCAUUAUUUACCUUCGAAGGAUUCUAAUAUACUAAAAAAUACGGAUUUAAUAACUAUAUCGUGUCAAAAGGGGUAUACAGUGGCAGUUAAAAAAGCAAUUAUAAUAGACUUGAAUGAAGAAGAAAAUGAUUAUACACAACUGAUUAAAGAAAUAUGUUCAAAGAAAGCACAGUGCAAGAUCGAUGUUAGACAAUUCAAAAUUAAAAUUAAACACAAUGCUAUUGACGCUACCUCCGAACUAAUACUAGACUAUAUCUGUAUAAGUUCCGAGAAUAACCUAUAUGAUGGAAGGAGCUUUCAUCAAGGAAUUACUCAAAAAUAUUUAACAGUAAGAGACCGAACAAUAGCAUGUGUUCAAAAUAGUGAGAAUGUCGAAAAGAUGUUAUCAAUUUCAAAGGCUUUGGAAAAGUGUUCCAAAAAUAAUUGCACUUACGUUGUAUGGAAUGCUGAAGAAAAAAAAGCAGUCAUUUGUUAUGAAAAUAAUUCACAUGAUUUGAUUGAAAAGAAGAAUAAUAUAACAUAUAUUAAUCCUACAUUUUUUUAUACUUAUGGAUUUGCAACUUUUCUGAAUUACAUGUCUAUAUGUGAAAACGUUGUAAAAAGCGUGCCCUACAAUUUAAGUAUGGGAAAAUCAGUUGACGUAUGUUCUCACUUGGAUUGUGCUUACUUUACAAAAAGUUACGCAGGGUCUAUAAGAUCAUUAAAUAACAAUAACAGUGGAAAAUCUUGGUUUUGCAAAGGGUACUUUUUUAAAAAAGGGAAACACAAAUUCAUACAUGCGUACAUCCCUCCCUUUAUACAUACAUAUAUAUAUAUAUAUACAUUUUUUUUUAUAUAG